AGCAGUAGCCGCGGUAAAACGAAGGGUGCAAGCGUUACUCGGAAUUACUGGGCGUAAAGCGUGCGUAGGUGGUGGUUUAAGUCCGUUGUGAAAGCCCUGGGCUCAACCUGGGAAUUGCAGUGGAUACUGGAUCACUAGAGUGUGGUAGAGGAUAGUGGAAUUUCCGGUGUAGCAGUGAAAUGCGUAGAGAUCGGAAGGAACAUCUGUGGCGAAGGCGACUAUCUGGGCCAACACUGACACUGAGGCACGAAAGCGUGGGGAGCAAACAGGAUUAGAUACCGCGUAGUCCCUGUCUCUUAUACC
Molecule: ribosomal RNA, 303 nt
Filed under: uncultured bacterium
Lineage: Bacteria
Description: partial 16S ribosomal RNA
Rfam family: Bacterial small subunit ribosomal RNA
Source: RNAcentral